CUUAAAUUAGUUUUUUUAAGAAUAAAUAGAGAAUAUAUUUAAUCAAAUAAAGAACAGCCACGUUGAAAUUCUGCUGUUCCUGCCAGUCAUUUGGUACCACAAAACACAAACAAUUUCUGCGUGUUGUGAAGAAGCGCAGGCUGAGGAGGGGCCUGUGACUGGGGAGGCUCUGCGUGCACCCAUGUUCCCGCAACAAAACAUAAAUUAUUGUAGUAAUCUGACAUCAAGAGCUGUGACAGUGAAAACCACUUCUUACACAUGUUCUAACAAGAAUCUGAUUAACGUUUUUGUGGAUGUGGAAAAUAGCUUUUUUUAGUCAAACUGGCACUAUUGCUGAAUUUAGAAUGAUUUCCUUAUGCACUAGAUAGCAAAAUGUGAAUCAUGUCUGUGAAAACACAUGAGAAUAAAAUGUCAUCUUUGUGUAGCAGAAAACAACCAGGAGAGAGCUUUUGGGACAUAAAAUUAUCAAGUGAUUGACAAUAUCAAGAUGAUAAUUCACCCCAGCUACGAGAGCACAUUUCGAAGAAAAAUCCAGUUCUCUCAGAACGUGGCCUCUUUCCUGAGGUGGACACCUUUGGGCCUUUCUCCUGCCUUUGUCGCUUCUCACUCUUUAUUGAGAGUCGCCGUUCUCAUCUCUGUAACAGCACCGCCUCUCUCUUCACUGAAUGCCAGUAGUUUCCAAAUUUGUCAUCUUGACAUUUCUGUCAUCUGUUCUCUUCACAGCUAUUUUCAACGGACCAUCCCCUCCUGCCGGUCUGUCCCCCUACUCAAUUUUAAUGAAAGCACAUUUUUUUCCUUCCUC
Molecule: long non-coding RNA, 802 nt
Filed under: Equus asinus (donkey)
Lineage: Eukaryota; Metazoa; Chordata; Mammalia; Perissodactyla; Equidae
Description: lncRNA (ENSEASG00005027391.1)
Source: RNAcentral